Long non-coding RNA from Tympanuchus pallidicinctus (lesser prairie-chicken), 894 nucleotides. RefSeq lists it as uncharacterized. The transcript is spliced from 4 exons. NCBI's taxonomy places the organism in Eukaryota, Metazoa, Chordata, Aves, Galliformes, Phasianidae. The record is from RefSeq and is a predicted model, not a curated record.
GUGGCGGUGUGCGUUAAAGCUACGUGCAGCUCGCUCCGAGCCCUUCAGCACGGCCGAGGAUGCGUCCUCGCGAUGAUUGACUGCACAACAGUUCCUGAGAGAGCAGUGUGCCAAAUACCCCUGCUCCAGUUGGCCAUGUGCUGCCAAGGGCUGUAGGCUGGGUUCAGCAUCCAGGAGAGCUUCCCUCCCGUCGGAGCACAGCCACCUGUAAUGCAGCUCCAGGUGCUGUAGGGACUCCUUUGGUUCUUCACAAUGGCUCUCCCCCACCACGGCGUCCUAUCAAGCCUGGCCCCAAGGGAGAAGGUGCUUGUGAUGAGAAGGAAAUGACAACUGCCCAUGAGCCCUGUUCUCAAUCCAGUGGUCCAGACAAAGGGAGGCUGCACAGAUGGAGGCACCAAAACCUGGUCUCACCCUCUGCAAGCGCUGCACUUGACUUGUGAGUGGAGGAAGAUCCUUUUGGGUGCUCAGCCAGGAGCCUGGGACCUGAGCCUGCCUGCUUCUCCUGGCCUGCAGCGAUUGUGCUCCAGAGAAGGUUGGGGAAUAACCAAUAACCCCUGGCCCCUCAUCUGCCAAGCAACAGCUCUGCAUGAGAAAAGAGCGAAAGGAAGGGAACCCAGCUGCUGCAAGGGCUGAGCUGCACAUCAAAGUCUAAAGGGCCACCUCAACCCCACUGGUGCCUUUCACUCAGCUCUUCCCAUUACCAUGCUUAUGCCUAAAACGUGUGCAAAUUCCUUUUUGUAAAAACACUCCAGCAGUGGGGCCAGCUUGCCACUUUGCUGAUAUAAAAAAUCAAAGUUUCCGUAAACUCUGUCUAUUUUAAUACCUUGUUUUUUAAAGGUUUGUCACAUGCAAGCAAUGGCAAGAAAACAAAACUGGCCAUGUUCCAAAGUGUAA